ACCAAAAAAAAAAAAAAAAGCCAAGCUGACAAAUAACUGAAGCAUUCUGUCUGUUAUAUGCAUAUGCAACACCACACACCACACAUUUAUGUAAUUCAUUCCAACUAAUGUACUACUCAUUACACAAACAUACUAAACGCCCACUGAAACUUAUCCCGCAACUUUUCUAGUAUAACUUCUGCCAGGUUGAAAUUGAUGGGUUUGUCUGAGAAACAUGUCACCAGAUUCACCACUCCACUGCACUCCAGCUUUCAUAGGUGGCGGCUUAGGUUGUGCCCCAAUCUGCCUGUGAGAACCAAUCGACAUACUCGCAAACUUAUCAGCUGCAUCAGACACUCCACGUGUACUUCUAGCCUUGUUAAUGACCAUUGGGCUCUUCCUUCCUGGUGGUCGAUAUUUCUGU
This 403-nucleotide unclassified non-coding RNA is filed under the name Hevea brasiliensis (rubber tree). Lineage: Eukaryota; Viridiplantae; Streptophyta; Magnoliopsida; Malpighiales; Euphorbiaceae. The record is from RNAcentral.